CUACGGGAUGCAGCAGUCGGGAAUAUUGCGCAAUGGAGGAAACUCUGACGCAGUGACGCCGCGUAUAGGAAGAAGGUUUUCGGAUUGUAAACUAUUGUCGUUAGGGAAGAUAAAAGACAGUACCUAAGGAGGAAGCUCCGGCUAACUACGUGCCAGCAGCCGCGGUAAUACGUAGGGAGCAAGCGUUAUCCGGAUUUAUUGGGUGUAAAGGGUGCGUAGACGGGAAGACAAGUUAGUUGUGAAAUCCCUCGGCUUAACUGAGGAACUGCAACUAAAACUAUUUUUCUUGAGUGUUGGGAGGAAAGUGGAAUUCCUAGUGUAGCGGUGAAAUGCGUAGAUAUUAGGAGGAACACCGGUGGCGAAGGCGACUUUCUGGACAAUAACUGACGUUGAGGCACGAAAGUGUGGGGAGCAAACAGGAUUAGAUACCCCCGUAGUC
RNAcentral lists this ribosomal RNA (439 nucleotides) under uncultured bacterium. Its description in RNAcentral is "partial 16S ribosomal RNA". It matches the Rfam family "Bacterial small subunit ribosomal RNA", at positions 339 to 795 of the family's 1533-position model. The record is from RNAcentral.